RNAcentral lists this transfer RNA (73 nucleotides) under Camelus bactrianus (Bactrian camel). It matches the Rfam family "tRNA". From Rfam's summary of the family: Transfer RNA (tRNA) molecules are approximately 80 nucleotides in length. Their secondary structure includes four short double-helical elements and three loops (D, anti-codon, and T loops). Lineage: Eukaryota; Metazoa; Chordata; Mammalia; Artiodactyla; Camelidae. RNAcentral also lists the same sequence under 2 other names. The record is from Rfam by way of RNAcentral.
GAGGUUAUAGCUCAGUGAUAGAGUGCCUGCUUAGCAUGCACAGGGUCCUGGGUUCAAUCACCCAGUACCUCCA